ACGAUUCUACUUCAGUCUCUGACUAAACAUCAAACUGCAACGUUGUGUGUGAAGUGAACUCCUGAAAUUAAAAUAAAUUGAUACUUUGGUGGAAGAAAGAAGUUUUCAAG
Drosophila bipectinata is the source of this 110-nucleotide non-coding RNA. Lineage: Eukaryota; Metazoa; Arthropoda; Insecta; Diptera; Drosophilidae. The record is from RefSeq and is a predicted model, not a curated record.